CCUACGGGAGGCAGCAGUGAGGAAUAUUGGUCAAUGGACGAGAGUCUGAACCAGCCAAGUAGCGUGAAGGAUGACUGCCCUAUGGGUUGUAAACUUCUUUUAUAUGGGAAUAAAAUGUUCCACGUGUGGGAUUUUGUAUGUACCAUAUGAAUAAGGAUCGGCUAACUCCGUGCCAGCAGCCGCGGUAAUACGGAGGAUCCGAGCGUUAUCCGGAUUUAUUGGGUUUAAAGGGAGCGUAUGUGGAUUGUUAAGUCAGUUGUGAAAGUUUGCGGCUCAACCGUAAAAUUGCAGUUGAAACUGGCAGUCUUGAGUACAGUAGAGGUGGGCGGAAUUCGUGGUGUAGCGGUGAAAUGCUUAGAGAUCACGAAGAACUCCGAUUGCGAAGGCAGCUCACUGGACUGCAACUGACACUGAGGCUCGAAAGUGUGGGUAGCAAACAGGAUUAGAGACCCCUGUAGUC
This 460-nucleotide ribosomal RNA is filed under the name uncultured bacterium. RNAcentral describes it as "partial 16S ribosomal RNA". It matches the Rfam family "Bacterial small subunit ribosomal RNA", at positions 338 to 795 of the family's 1533-position model. The record is from RNAcentral.